This 123-nucleotide small nuclear RNA is filed under the name Rhodnius prolixus. RNAcentral describes it as "U2 spliceosomal RNA". The record is from RNAcentral. Lineage: Eukaryota; Metazoa; Arthropoda; Insecta; Hemiptera; Reduviidae.
UUUACAUUUCGCUUUUUUGGGUAAGAUCAAAGUGUAGUAUCUGUCUUACCAGUCUUGUUUUUGGUACGGCUUCCAUUUUUGGGAUCCAAAGAAUUAAACUGAUAUUGAUGAAAUGAAGGCAUU